Molecule: ribosomal RNA, 420 nt
Filed under: uncultured eukaryote
Lineage: Eukaryota
Description: bacterial SSU rRNA
Rfam family: Eukaryotic small subunit ribosomal RNA
Source: RNAcentral
CAAUAGCGUAUAUUAAUGUUGUUGCAGUUAAAAAGCUCGUAGUUGGAUUUCUGGUGGGAGUGGCCGGUCCGCCGUAAGGUGUGUACUUGGUUGUCUCCCGUCAUCCUUGUGGGAACUGCUCUGGCAUUAAGUUGUCGGGGUUAGGGAACACAUCGUUUACUGUGAAAAAUUAGAGUGUUCAAAGCAGGCUUAUGCCGUUGAAUAUAUUAGCAUGGAAUAAUAAGAUAGGACUUUGGUACUAUUUUGUUGGUUUGAGAACCAAGGUAAUGAUCAAUAGGGACAGUUGGGGGUAUUCGUAUUCAGUUGUCAGAGGUGAAAUUCUUAGAUUUCCGGAAGACGAACUACUGCGAAAGCAUUUACCAAGGAUGUUUUCAUUAAUCAAGAACGAAAGUAUGGGGAUCGAAGAUGAUUAGAUACCAU